CAAGAUCACCGCGUGUUGUAACAAUCUUCUUGUGUUACAACAUAUAACAAUAUUACAGUACCAUACAUUUCUCAAAAAUUUCAUUCUCUUGGUCACAUUUAUCAGUCACAUAGUAAUCGAUGAUUCUUAAACUACUCAUCCUUAGAUUUGAUAUCAAUAAUCAAGAUUUACAACCUAUUCAUUUAUUUUCCUUCCUCUUAAUAUCAAAUCAAAAAGCGAGUCACCAUAAAUCUCUGCAUUCUUCAAGCUGUUUUUUUUUUUUGAAUAAACAAUAUUAUUCACAAUAAAUGAGUGAGAAAUUAGGCCAAACCUCAUCAUAAACUAAUAAUAAUGUGUUCAAAUUCACAUAUAACGAAAAUCGAGCACUAAUUCGUUAUUAUAAUUGGGUGGGGUUUGAGGAGGAGUUAGAUUCAUCAUGUGCCAUGAACAAAAUAUCACAUUGGUCGUUUAUCGUGUUCAAGGGCACAACACUGCCUAUAAUCUUGCUACCCUUGAAAACCCAAGGUACGUAUUUAAAUGCUUUAGAACAAGCA
RNAcentral lists this long non-coding RNA (533 nucleotides) under Malus domestica (apple). RNAcentral describes it as "long non-coding RNA (MDOM_LNC008000)". Lineage: Eukaryota; Viridiplantae; Streptophyta; Magnoliopsida; Rosales; Rosaceae. The record is from RNAcentral.